Molecule: ribosomal RNA, 486 nt
Filed under: uncultured bacterium
Lineage: Bacteria
Description: partial 16S ribosomal RNA
Rfam family: Bacterial small subunit ribosomal RNA
Source: RNAcentral
GAUGAACGCUAGCGGCAGGCUUAACACAUGCAAGUCGAGGGGCAGCGCGGGAUAGCAAUAUCCUGGCGGCGACCGGCGGAAGGGUGCGUAACGCGUGAGCGACAUGCCCGUUGCCCGGGGACAACCGGUGGAAACGCCGACUAAUCCCCUAUGGGAUACGCUGCUUCAUGGCAUUGUAUUGAAAGUUACGGCGGCGACGGAUUGGCUCGCGUCCGAUUAGCUGGUUGUCGGGGUAACGGCCCACCAAGGCUGCCAUCGGUAGGGGUUCUGAGAGGAAGGCCGCCCACAAUGGGACGGAGACACGGCCCAUAGUCCUACGGGAGGCAGCAGUGACGAAUAGUGGUGAAUGGGCGGAAGCCUGAACCAGCCGUGCCGCGUGCGGGAAGGGGGCCCUAUGGGCUGUGAACCGCUUUUGCCUGGGGGCAAUAAGGGCGUCGCGCACGUCCGAUGGGAGUACCAGGCGAAUAAGCAUCGGCUAACUCCGUG